This 537-nucleotide ribosomal RNA is filed under the name uncultured bacterium. RNAcentral describes it as "bacterial SSU rRNA". It matches the Rfam family "Bacterial small subunit ribosomal RNA", at positions 8 to 523 of the family's 1533-position model. The record is from RNAcentral.
AGAGUUUGAUCCUGGCUCAGAACGAACGCUGGCGGCGUGCUUAACACAUGCAAGUCGAACGUGAUCCAGAGCUUGCUCUGGUGAAAGUGGCGCACGGGUGAGUAACGCGUGGAUAACCUGCCCUGGUAUCUGGGAUAACAUCUCGAAAGGGGUGCUAAUACCGGAUAAGCCUACGGGGUCCUCGGACUCUGCAGGAAAAGGUGGCCUCUAUUUAUAAGCUACCGUAUCAGGAUGGGUCCGCGUACCAUUAGCUAGUUGGUGGGGUAAUGGCCCACCAAGGCGACGAUGGUUAGCUGGUCUGAGAGGAUGAUCAGCCACACUGGAACUGAGACACGGUCCAGACUCCUACGGGAGGCAGCAGUGGGGAAUUUUGCGCAAUGGGGGAAACCCUGACGCAGCAACGCCGCGUGAGUGAUGAAGGCUUUCGGGUCGUAAAGCUCUGUCAGAGGGGAAGAAAUGAGCCUGGCUAAUAUCCAGGUUUCUUGACGGUACCCUCAAAGGAAGCACCGGCUAACUCCGUGCCAGCAGCCGCGGUAA